Long non-coding RNA from Salvia miltiorrhiza (redroot sage), 1199 nucleotides. RefSeq lists it as uncharacterized. The record is from RefSeq and is a predicted model, not a curated record. The transcript is spliced from 3 exons. Lineage: Eukaryota; Viridiplantae; Streptophyta; Magnoliopsida; Lamiales; Lamiaceae.
GUGCUGUUUGAUUUGAUUGAAUAUGAUUUAAAACUCUUGCACAUAGCAGUAAUUAAAGUAAUGCUGUAUAAAUAAUUCAUUUGUUGGAGAUGGGAAAUGUUGAGCAACUACAUUGGAUAAACAGGGAGAUUAUAUCAAUGGCCCAUUAAUAUCUUUAUUAGCGUAUGUUGAUAUGGAGUUGGUUUUUAUUAGUAUAACUUUUGAAAUUGGACUUAUAUACUAACAAAGAGGCAACUUUUUUCUUCUAUAUGUUUUUCCUUGUCUGCAUGUUAAUUCUAAAGCUUGAGAUCUUACAUUUUCCAGUGCAGACUGCAGCCAAAGAUCUAGUAGAUCCUUACUACACGAAUUCUUUUAUUAUUAUUUUUUCUUUUGCUUGGUUUGUGUCAUGAAUAUUGAAGGAAGAUUAUGAUGCAUGCUUGAUGGUUAGAGUGGAGACAAUGAAGAGGCAUCUUCCUUUAUCUGGACUAGAGGGAGCUCUGGAAAUCGAAAUUGUUGUAUAAACUUGGCACUUUGAGACCGUUUGAAGCAAUGAAAUUUAUUUACUCACAUGAAGGAAAGUAGUUCUAUUUUAUGUCUGUUGUUGUUGGUUGCAUUCCUUAUAUAUCAUGUAAAUGUUAUUGAAGCAUUUCUAUAUAUUUCUAGAUUUCAACUUCUUUAGUUGUAGAAUUUCCACAAUUGCCUUCGUUUUGGCUUCGACUUUGGGUAAUAAUUGCUUCAACUUUGCUCGAUUUUCAGUGUGAUUUAAAUUUCAUUUUUUGUGUUAGGUGCUGAGAGGUGGACAAAAGUGUAGAGUUGAAGAAAUUGGGAGCAAGGUACUCCAUCAAAAUUAAAAGUGGAAAAAGAAUGUUUCUCGCCAUACCCUACAGCAGCUACUCCACCAGCUGUAACUUAGGACUGAAAUUAAUCGAGCCUUUGCUGUUCUGAGGGACAUUGCUCCCGGAAAAGCUUUGCUUCAAGGGAUACACACAUAAGUUUGAGAUUGCAGAGACAUGUUUUGGAGAGAUGGGGAGCCAUUUAGGAUAAUUGGAGGAGACUUGCAUUAUUUCCGAGUGCAUCCUGAGGUUUGUGGUGGAUUAAAUGAGCCGUACGCUGAGCUGAAGAGGCUUGUGAAUUCACAAGAAAAGUUGUACGAGAUUGCUAGCUAGUUGCAUAUUUAAUAUGUUUAGUAUUUUUGUAAGGCAUAAUAGUAUAGAUAGAGC